UGGUGAAUUUUGGACAAUGGGCGCAAGCCUGAUCCAGCCAUGCCGCGUGAGUGAAGAAGGCCUUCGGGUUGUAAAGCUCUUUCAGACGGAAAGAAAACUUUUGGGCUAAUACCCUGGGAGGAUGACGGUACCGUAAGAAGAAGCACCGGCUAACUACGUGCCAGCAGCCGCGGUAAUACGUAGGGUGCGAGCGUUAAUCGGAAUUACUGGGCGUAAAGCGUGCGCAGGCGGUGAUGUAAGACAGAUGUGAAAUCCCCGGGCUCAACCUGGGAACUGCCUUUGUGACUGCAAGGCUGGAGUGCGGCAGAGGGGGAUGGAAUGCCGCGUGUAGCAGUUAAAUGCGUAGAUAUGCGGAGGAACACCGAUGGAGAAGGCAAUCCCAUGGGCCUGCACUGACGCUCAUGCACGAAAGCGGGGGGAGCAAACA
RNAcentral lists this ribosomal RNA (427 nucleotides) under uncultured bacterium. RNAcentral's name for it is "bacterial SSU rRNA". It matches the Rfam family "Bacterial small subunit ribosomal RNA", at positions 355 to 774 of the family's 1533-position model. The record is from RNAcentral.